GAACUCAGGAGUAGGUUUUUGAUAAAAGAGUAAGUUCAGCCCCCUUCCUCUCUGUUUCUCCUUUGAGUGUUCUCUUGCCAUUCCACCUUCUGCCAUGAAAUAAUACAACAAGAAGGCCCUCAUCAGAUGCCAAACAGAUGAUGGUGCCAUGCUCUUGAACAUCCCAGCCUCCAGAAUUAUUCAUCCUCUACUGAUUCCAGGAUUAGGACAUCAUCAUAACAUAGCAGGAAAUUCACAAUCCUAGAGAUGGGGGUAUGGUGAGAUGCAAGAGCAUUAGAGGACUAUGGAAAUUAUGGGAGCAUGACAUUCUGAAAUUGCACGACUAAGGAAUUGGAAAUAUUUCUCAGGACAUGAUGAUUAUCUGGACACUGGCAAUGAAUCUUGAUCAUUCACCUCGGUGGCUGAGCACCUGUGAACAAGGCCCAGCUCACUGAUGAAGUUUCCCGUGGGCCAACUAGCUUCAAAGACGCGAAUACCGUCUGCACCGUGACGGCAGAUGACACUCCUAAUUCUAAGCAACCAGCUCACAAAGAGACAAGGCUUCAUGUUUGAGACCAAAGUCCUGACCUCAGGUGAUCCGCCCCCCUCGGCCUCCCCAAGUGCUGGGAUUACAAGCGUGAGCAACCGUGUCCGGUGAUGUCUGCAACUUUACUUUGAAAUGUAUCAAAAAAGAAAAAAGAUGGACAGCUGAAUGGGAAAAUGGAUGGAUAAACAGAAUAGAUACCUGAUAAAGCAGAUACAGUAAAUGUUAAUCAUAGAAUCUAAGUGGAGGGUAUACAGAUAUUUGCUGUAAAACCUUCCCCUUUUUCCAUAUGUUGAAAUUUUGUUCACAAUAAAAUGCUGAUAAAAGUUAAAAGAUGCAUCACAACUUGGAAUUUGCUUCCUCAAAAAGGUGUGGAAGUAAAUCACAAUAUUUGUAGAAAUCAACAUGAAGGAAGACAGGAAUUCAUUGUGGAAUUGUAAACAGAAAGCACUUAGGUAAGAGUUUAGUAAAACAUGUUUGCUGCCCAGUAGGAAAAAGCAGCAUGUACUAUAGUUGAACCUUAGAGAAUCAUGGAAAUAAAUUCCUCAUCUCAGUGAAAUGUUCUGGUGACAUAUUUUAUUUGUGUAGUGUUAACAGGGCUACCCCGGUCAUCUCUGGGGUUAGUGAUGCUAGGUGGCACCUCAGGAGAAGUUUUGAUUCUGAGUUCAGCUUCCUAUGAGCCAGGUCUCAAGCACCAAGGGGCCACGAAAACAUCACGUUCAAUGAGAGAGGGAGGGA
RNAcentral lists this long non-coding RNA (1261 nucleotides) under Homo sapiens (human). RNAcentral's name for it is "HSALNT0332207". The record is from RNAcentral. Lineage: Eukaryota; Metazoa; Chordata; Mammalia; Primates; Hominidae.